ACAUCACAUCGAAAUACCAGUUCCUGUAUGAUCACAGAAAUUAAGCAACGUCAAGCCUAGUCAAUACCUAGAUGGGUGACUGCUUGGGAAUAUCAGGUGCUGUAAG
Molecule: non-coding RNA, 106 nt
Organism: Acanthosepion pharaonis
Lineage: Eukaryota; Metazoa; Mollusca; Cephalopoda; Sepiida; Sepiidae
Source: the annotation of a GenBank genome assembly